RNAcentral lists this transfer RNA (74 nucleotides) under Marmota monax (woodchuck). RNAcentral's name for it is "tRNA.Ala". It matches the Rfam family "tRNA". Rfam says of the family: Transfer RNA (tRNA) molecules are approximately 80 nucleotides in length. Lineage: Eukaryota; Metazoa; Chordata; Mammalia; Rodentia; Sciuridae. The record is from RNAcentral.
GUUGUGAUUCUGGCUCAGAGGUAGAGUGCUUGCCUAGCAUGCAUGAGACACUGGGUUCAAUCCUCAGCACUACA